Molecule: long non-coding RNA, 1687 nt
Filed under: Anas platyrhynchos platyrhynchos (common mallard)
Lineage: Eukaryota; Metazoa; Chordata; Aves; Anseriformes; Anatidae
Description: lncRNA (ENSAPLG00000017447.1)
Source: RNAcentral
GUGGGUUUGUGUCAUGUGUGUUCCCACACCAGCGUUCUGCCUGCUCUAUCUUCUUAAUUGAUAUUACUAGAUCUGUUUGCACAGCAAGACCCCACUGUAUCUUCCACUCCUGAACAGUCUCUAGCACUGAGUUAAGAUUAAAAGGAGAGAGGAUUUGCUAUUAGUAACAUGAGUGAGAAGUGUUGAAGAGAAGCAAGGAAAUAGAGGAUCAAAAAGUGCCACUGCUACCGUUUACUUGGCAAGGCAUUCAGCAGGUAAAGAGUUAUAUUCUUUUACAGUAGGCCUUCAUGUUGAAUAUGCACGUGGCGAUUUUUAAAUCCAGACCUCAGCCCAGUGGUGUUGCUGUUUAAUUAUCAGAAGACUCCUCCGUACAUGAUUCUGGGUACUGGGGAGAGGCCACGGCUGCCCCACCACUUCGGGGUGCCAGCAGAGAGCAGGGCACUGGGCAGCAGCACCCCAUCCCCAGUGGAAUUCCAAAGCUUCAGCAAAGCCUGCUUCCAUAUGGUGCCUCAGGACACACAAACACAUCGAUACGGGAAGAUAAAACCUCCUGACAUUACAAAGCCAUUUGGUCAGAAGACCUGCUGGCUGACUGCUGAUGUUGGACGCUCACCCACUGUGGGCACAAAUACUAGGACUAUGAAGACAUCUGUGUGCACUGUGUCCCUGUCUGUGUAUCCCAUGUAGCUGAGCCCCUGCUUGGUGAGUUACGGUCUCCUGGGGCCCUGAAAACCACAGGAGGAGCAGGAUGGAGUCAUGGUGGCCAUCCAUCUCCAUUGCUCCCUUCUUUGCAGAUGGACUUCUCUGGUAGUAGCUGUGCACUGGACUUUCUGCCCUGUGUUCGCAGGGGAGAUGUCUGCCCUCUACACAGCUCCAGGCCAGGGUAGGGCAAAAAUGAGAUCACAAGGGCUUCAGAAAUCCCUGAGAAGAUAAAAAGAAGUACACUAUUUCAACCAAAUACAAAUAUUUAAUUAAUUGAACAAAGUUGUUAUUUAAGAGCAUUGAAGGGAGCUAUCUAGGGAGCUAUUGAUCUUGCACACUUCUUUCAAAACUCUUCUGUAAAAAAAAAAAAAAAAAAAAAAAAAAGGUUCAAAGGAGGUCCCCUUUUUCCUGUCAUCUGGUUAUGAUUCGCCUAAACUUUCGUGAUCUCCAAGGUCAUGUCCUCACCCCCCACCUUGCACCGAGGAGCCUUGGGUGGCAGGGCCUGGUGCUGGUGCACCAGACCAUGCUCACUUGCACGCCACAUGGGAUGGCAUACUGGCUGUGUGAGUAUGGCCCCACGAGCCUGGGGCAGCUGGAGGCACUCCAGAAUCAGUAUUAGUGACCCACACAGAUGCAGUGGUCUGCAGGUCAGUCUGCAGGCAAAAAGGAACUUGCCUAGAAAAAGUGUGAGAAAAUGAGCUAGUAUGAUAUACCCCUGAUAUCAAAGGUAUGCCAUGUUAUUUCUUCGAUCUGUCUUUACUAGUCUGAUUUGAGUAGAUUAAGACUGUUCUGCUGCUUCAAGCUGUCUCUGUAAGUAGAUGGGGAAAUUGAGGAUACGAUGGAGUACCAACUCCACUGGCUCUGCAGUUGAUUUGUCCCAGUAUGUUCCCAUCCAGAGAGAUGUGAGGGGGGAAACACACCUCUCUUUCUCUCUCUUCUUCAUCCUGGUUAAGUCACCUUGCUGCUCCAUGUGAAGCUAACUUAU